This 429-nucleotide ribosomal RNA is filed under the name uncultured bacterium. RNAcentral's name for it is "bacterial SSU rRNA". It matches the Rfam family "Bacterial small subunit ribosomal RNA", at positions 355 to 775 of the family's 1533-position model. The record is from RNAcentral.
UGAGGAAUCCUGCGCAAUGGGGGAAACCCUGACGCAGCAACGCCGCGUGAGUGAGGAAGGUCUUCGGGUCGUAAAGCUCUGUCAGGCGGGAAGAAAUGGAUGGAGGUGAACAGCCGCCAUGCUUGACGGUACCGCCAGAGGAAGCACCGGCUAACUCCGUGCCAGCAGCCGCGGUAAUACGGGGGGUGCAAGCGUUGUUCGGAAUCAUUGGGCGUAAAGAGCGUGUAGGCGGCUUGGUAAGUCAGAUGUGAAAGCCCUGGGCUCAACCCGGGAAGUGCACUUGAAACUGCCAGGCUCGAGUAGGGGAGAGGGAAGUGGAAUUCCUGGUGUAGGGGUGAAAUUCGUAGAUAUCAGGAGGAACACCGGUGGCGAAGGCGACUUCCUGGCCCUAUACUGACGCUGAGACGCGAGAGCGUGGGUAGCAAACAG